UACGUAGGGUCCGAGCGUUGUCCGGAAUUAUUGGGCGUAGAGGGCUCGUAGGCGGUUUGUCGCGUCGGGAGUGAAAACACGGGGCUUAACCCCGUGCCUGCUUCCGAUACGGGCAGACUAGAGGUAUGCAGGGGAGAACGGAAUUCCUGGUGUAGCGGUGAAAUGCGCAGAUAUCAGGAGGAACACCGGUGGCGAAGGCGGGUCUCUGGGCCGAUACUGACGCUGAGGAGCGAAAGCAUGGGUAGCGAACAGG
This 253-nucleotide ribosomal RNA is filed under the name uncultured bacterium. RNAcentral describes it as "partial 16S ribosomal RNA". It matches the Rfam family "Bacterial small subunit ribosomal RNA", at positions 524 to 776 of the family's 1533-position model. The record is from RNAcentral.